This 429-nucleotide ribosomal RNA is filed under the name Pseudomonadota bacterium. RNAcentral describes it as "Proteobacteria bacterium partial 16S ribosomal RNA". It matches the Rfam family "Bacterial small subunit ribosomal RNA", at positions 355 to 776 of the family's 1533-position model. Lineage: Bacteria; Pseudomonadati; Pseudomonadota. The record is from RNAcentral.
UGGGGAAUAUUGGACAAUGGGCGAAAGCCUGAUCCAGCCAUGCCGCGUGUGUGAAGAAGGUCUUCGGAUUGUAAAGCAUUUUAAGUUGGGAGGAAGGGCAGUAAGCGAAUACCUUGCUGUUUUGACGUUACCGACAGAAUAAGCACCGGCUAACUCUGUGCCAGCAGCCGCGGUAAUCCAGAGGGUGCAAGCGUUAAUCGGAAUUACUGGGCGUAAAGCGCGCGUAGGUGGUUCGUUCAGUUGAAUGUGAAAGCCCCGGGCUCAAACUGGGAACUGCAUCCAAGACUGGCGGGCUAGAGGAGGGCAGAGGGUGGUGGAGUUUGCUGUGUAGCGGUGGAAUGCGUAGAUAUAGGAAGGAACACCAGUGGCGAAGGAGACCACCUGGGCUCAUACUGACACUGAGGUGGGAAAGCGUGGGGAGCAAACAGG